UAUAAUAUAUAUAAUAUAUAAUAUAUUUAUUAAAUAUAUUAUAUUUAAUAUAAUAUUGUUUAAAUUUAUGCAUAUGUAACUAUAUAAAUGCCAUUUUAUAUCCUUAAAUUAUAGAAAUUAGUAUAUGAUGAGAAAAUUUAUUUGCUUUGUAUUCUGAAAUAAUUUUGAUGUUGAGUGGAAAUAUGAAAUUUUAAUCGGUAUUUCCAAAGAAAACAAAUAGAAUUGUGUUGAGGAAAAUUUCCCCCAAAGUUUGUGCUCAGCAUUUUGUACAUAGACACAAAAUUAUGAGUAAAAAUUAUGGAUUUUUUUCUUAAUAUGUACUGAAUAGAAAGAAUUCACUGUAAAUGCAGGGCACUGGGAUGAAUUUCCAAAAUAGUUGUUCAUUCCUUUAUUCAUUCUCUAAUGCAGUAAAUAUUUACUGAGUGCUUAUUAUAUGAAACAGAUUCUAAAGCACAAGAGACACUCAAUAGAGAAGAAAUUCUUCUUUUUAUUGGGUUUAUGGUGAAAAUCUGAAUGUCUUAAAUGAAGAUUAAGUCAAAUAUAAAGAUACAGCUAAUCAGCCAGCAUGGUAGUGCACAUCUGUAGUCCCAGUUAGUUGGGAGGGGCUGAGGUGGGACAGUCGCUUGAGCCCGGGAAGUUGAGGCUGCAGUCAGCCCUGAUCACACCACUGCACUCCAGCCUGUGACAAGAGUAAGCCCCUGUCUACAAAAAAUAAAUUAUCAAAUCAAAUGAAGCCAAAUCAAAUAAAGAUGUAGCUAAGAGGAAUAGCUUU
This 772-nucleotide long non-coding RNA is filed under the name Pan troglodytes (chimpanzee). RNAcentral describes it as "lincRNA". The record is from RNAcentral. Lineage: Eukaryota; Metazoa; Chordata; Mammalia; Primates; Hominidae.